UACGUAGGGGGCAAGCGUUGUCCGGAUUUAUUGGGCGUAAAGAGCGUGUAGGCGGCCAGGUAGGUCCUCUGUGAAAGUCCGAGGCUCAACCUCGGAAUGUCGGCGGAAACCCUCUGGCUAGAGUCCGGAAGAGGAGAGUGGAAUUCCCGGUGUAGCGGUGAAAUGCGCAGAUAUCGGGAAGAACACCAGUGGCGAAGGCGGCUCUCUGGAACGGGACUGAAGAUGAGACGAGAAAGCGUGGGGAGAGAACAGG
RNAcentral lists this ribosomal RNA (253 nucleotides) under uncultured bacterium. RNAcentral describes it as "partial 16S ribosomal RNA". It matches the Rfam family "Bacterial small subunit ribosomal RNA", at positions 524 to 776 of the family's 1533-position model. The record is from RNAcentral.